Molecule: ribosomal RNA, 497 nt
Filed under: uncultured bacterium
Lineage: Bacteria
Description: partial 16S ribosomal RNA
Rfam family: Bacterial small subunit ribosomal RNA
Source: RNAcentral
GACGAACGCUGGCGGCGUGCCUAAUACAUGCAAGUUGAGCGCUGAAGGUUGGUACUUGUACCAACUGGAUGAGCAGCGAACGGGUGAGUAACGCGUGGGGAAUCUGCCUUUGAGCGGGGGACAACAUUUGGAAACGAAUGCUAAUACCGCAUAAAAACUUUAAACACAAGUUUUAAGUUUGAAAGAUGCAAUUGCAUCACUCAAAGAUGAUCCCGCGUUGUAUUAGCUAGUUGGUGAGGUAAAGGCUCACCAAGGCGAUGAUACAUAGCCGACCUGAGAGGGGGAGCGGCCACAUUGGGACGGAGACACGGCCCAAACUCCUACGGGAGGCAGCAGGAGGGAAGCUUCGGCAAUGGAAGAAAGUCUGACCGAGCAACGCCGCGUGAGUGAAGAAGGGUUUCGGAUCGUAAAACUCUGUUGGUAGAGAAGAACGUUGGUGAGAGUAGAAAGCUCAUCAAGUGACGGUAACUACUCAGAAAGGGACGGCUAACUACGUG